CUAGUGGUGGUGCGACUAAGUUCCCCCGAGUAUAUAAGUCCGACGCCUGCCUGUUCCCGGUAGAGUCUACACCGGCAACUGUAACCCAAAACACGAGCAUAACAUCUUCAAACAGGCAACGCCCGUUACAUUUGUCUUACUACUUGUAAAAUAUUGUAAAAUAUGGAUUAAGCUACUGAUUUCAUUCGUUUGCCACAACGCGAUGAAUACAAUGGUAUCAGUGAAACUUUCCAAUCUUCCGUAUACCAUAGGUCUGGUUGACGGCACAUAAUAAGAAUAGUGCAACCACUGAAACCUUUUGCAGCCAAUACAUGUCGCAAUAAGUUUUGCGCUGUCAACCUUCAAGCAACCUGCACCAAAAGCCUCAAGUUCACUUCCGUAAGCAGUGGCUGGUCAGGGUCAAUGAAUGAUGCACGUGUCUUUGAAAACAGCGAGAGGACAAACCCUACAUGAAAAACUGGCGGGCACUGAUUACCACAUAAUUGAUGAUCUUGCCUAUUCCCUGUCUGAACGUUUAUUAAAAUCAUAUCGAAGAGUAGGUGCAAUUGAGGUAUGUAUGAUAAACAAAAAAAAAUAAUGUUAUUGAUGGCACCAACUUUGGCAUACGUAAUGAAAACACUGUUUCAUUUUCCGAUAAGAACAAAAACUAUUCAACCGUAUCCUGAACUGUGAAAGAUCUUCCAUUGAGCGAGCAUUUGCUCGCUGAAAAUGAAAAUUUUGACGGUUAAAAUAUCUUUACAUGAGGCACUUAGAUUGGAUUGAUUGGAUUUAGCUUAGAUUGGCCAUUCCUUUAGAUCUUCUAGAUAUGUUCAACAGGAAUUUAAAAAAAAUUAAAGUCAAAUAAGAUAUUAACUUACCAACAGUAUCGGGUUUAGUGGCCUAAAGGUGAAGAAAACCAGUUUCUUGGACCUAUGCAUGAACCUGGAGCAAAGGGGAUAUGUAAGAUGGACUUUAUCAGCCAGUACCUUUAAGAAUAACUGUGAAAUAUAAACAGCCUUGAAAGCACUUCUUAAUUAACAGUAGCUUGUAUGAGAAACUUAUUCUUGACAACUAAUUGGCAUACUCCAAAUACUGAAUGUAAAAAAAAAUAUGAGCAGUAUUGAAGUAAGCUCUGCUUGUUAUUAAAUAACAAAAUAAGCUACCAUGAUCCACCAACUGUUGACUUCAACAUUAUCUUACGGUACUAUUCAGUUUGUAUAAAUACUGCUUUCGAACUUCAAUUAUUUCGUGGGUGGAUAUUAAGAAUUGGUUACUUCACGUAGUCCAGCAAGAGCACUAGUAUUAUGGGAAAAUACAUUUUUAAAAAUCCA
Long non-coding RNA from Daphnia pulicaria, 1310 nucleotides. RefSeq lists it as uncharacterized. NCBI's taxonomy places the organism in Eukaryota, Metazoa, Arthropoda, Branchiopoda, Diplostraca, Daphniidae. The record is from RefSeq and is a predicted model, not a curated record. The transcript has 3 exons.